GACGAUACAUAGCCGACGUGAGAGGGUGAUCGGCCACACUGGGAGUGAGACACGGCCCAGACUCUUACGGGAGGCAGCAGUAGGGAAUCUUCGGCAAUGGGGGCAACCCUGACCGAGCAACGCCGCGUGAGUGAAGAAGGUUUUCGGAUCGUAAAGCUCUGUUGUAAGAGAAGAACGUGUGUGAGAGUGGAAAGUUCACACAGUGACGGUAACUUACCAGAAAGGGACGGCUAACUACGUGCCAGCAGCCGCGGUAAUACGUAGGUCCCGAGCGUUGUCUGGAUUUAUUGGGCGUAAAGCGAGCGCAGGCGGUUUAAUAAGUCUGAAGUUAAAGGCAGUGGGUUAACCAUUGUUCGGUUUGGAAACUGUUAAACUUGAGUGCAGAAGGGAGAGAGUGGAAUUCCAUGUGUAGCGGUGAAAUGCGUAGAUAUAUGGAGGAACACCGGUGGGGAAAGCGGCUUCCUCUGGUCUGUAACUGACGCUGAGGCUCGAAAGCGUGGGGAGCAAACAGGAUUAGAUACCCUGGUAGUCCACGCCGUAAACGAUGAGUGCUAGGUGUUAGGCCCUUUCCGGGGCUUAGUGCCGCAGCUAACGCAUUAAGCACUCCCCCUGGGGAGUACGACCGCAAGGUUGAAACUCAAAGGAAUUGACGGGGGCCCGCACAACCGGUGGAGCAUGUGGUUUAAUUCAAAGCAACGCAAAAAACCUUACCAGGUCUUGACAUCCCGAUGCUAUUUCUAAAGAUAGAAAGUUUCUUCGGAACAUCGGUGACAGGGGGGGCGAUGGGGUGUCGUCAGCUCCUGUCGUGAGAUGUUGGGUUAAGUCCCGCAACGAGCGCAACCCCCUAUUGUUAGUUGCCAUCAUUCAGUUGGGCACUCUAGCGAGACUGCCGGUGAUAAACCGGAGGAAGGUGGGGAUGACGUCAAAUCAUCAUGCCCCUUAUGACGUGGGCUACACACGUGCUACAAUGGUUGGUACAACGAGUCGCAAGCCGGUGACGGCAAGCAAAUCUCUUAAAGCCAAUCUCAGUUCGGAUUGUAUGCUGCAACUCGCCUACAUGAAGUCG
This 1066-nucleotide ribosomal RNA is filed under the name Streptococcus gallolyticus. Its description in RNAcentral is "bacterial SSU rRNA". It matches the Rfam family "Bacterial small subunit ribosomal RNA", at positions 275 to 1328 of the family's 1533-position model. Lineage: Bacteria; Bacillati; Bacillota; Bacilli; Lactobacillales; Streptococcaceae. The record is from RNAcentral.